UCGUGAACAACUCUCACUCUCCGAACUGGAGCUUUCGGUACCCUGAACCAUUUAUAAUCCAAACACGGAGAUGGGGAACGCUUUCGCUCGAUGUUCAUCAAUCUGACUGAUUUAAUCCACUGCCAUCGUUAUUCAUUACAUCCAGUCCCAUUUCCGUCAACAUCGAGGGAAAAUGUCAUGAGCUGUUCAUCAAUUUGCUGAUGAAGCACAGCAACACCUUAAUAAGAGAGGGAUGUAUCAGGAAGGGUAUCUACAACACCCACACUUCUUCGUUAACAAGCUGAUUCUAUAUUGAUCUGAAAGUAGCGAACGAUUCGAUUUAUGAGAAUCUAGGGCUGUCACGAGAUGAGAAUUGACGUCGACGAGAUCAUCUCACGUUAAGGAGACGUGAAAGUUUGUGAGACUGAC
This is a long non-coding RNA of Diachasmimorpha longicaudata, 408 nucleotides long. RefSeq lists it as uncharacterized. The record is from RefSeq and is a predicted model, not a curated record. The transcript is spliced from 3 exons. NCBI's taxonomy places the organism in Eukaryota, Metazoa, Arthropoda, Insecta, Hymenoptera, Braconidae.